RNAcentral lists this ribosomal RNA (100 nucleotides) under human gut metagenome. The record is from RNAcentral.
UUAUUAUAGCAAAGAGGAUACACCUGUUCCCAUUCCGAACACAGAAGUUAAGCUCUUUAGCGCUGAUGGUACUCGGAGGGCAACCUCCCGGGAGAUUAAG